UGCUAAUAUAUAUAAUAUAUAUAUAUAUAUAUAUAUAUAUAUAUAUAUAUAUAUAUAUAUAUAUAUAUAUAAUGCAAAAAAAGAUAAAGGUCCUAAAAUGGGCUAAGGAAAAACUACAUUUAUGAAUUUUUUUCUUUGGAGGAAAUUUGACUAUGGGCGUAUUUUCAUGAGAUUGAUUAAGCAGUGCUACCCGUUAUUUCUACUAUUACACAAAUAGAAAUCAGGUAAAUCACAUCUAGUUAGGAAUUCAUCACUUAUUGCUUUGUCAUGUUGUGCCUGGUUAGUAUAUGUGUCUGUAACAUCUACACAAACAUAAUUUUCACACAUAAACACACAUUUCCAGUGAGAGAGAAGAUGUGCUUGAAGUAUCAACAAUACACUGUUUACAGGUUGUGCUCUUAAUACGGUACUACUAAACUACCACAACCAUUCACUCUCAGCUAACUCCUCUAUGACAGUUUCUCAGUCUCUCUGUCUCUCUCUCAGCAAUACAAACACAGCACACGGUCCCAUAUGAUGCCUUUCUGCUGGAGCCUAUAGGGCACAUAUGAGAGAGCUGUGUUCCAUUACACACACACACACACACACACACAAGCUGAGAGCUGUGUUACACACUCACACAGCUGAAAAGGACAGUUCACCCAAAAAUUUAAAUUCUGUCAUCAUUUACUUACCCUCAUGUCAUUCCUUACCUGACUUUCCGGCCACAUACACACUGCAGGUAAAUUCGGUUGUCAGUUCACAUUUGAAUUCUUAAUCCUGUUCUCUACAUACACAGUUAAGCCAUUUACCACCAAAUUAACUCCUGAAAAAUUCAGCCGCAUUUACAAAAAUUCUAUAUAGUGUGAAUUGAACAGGGUUGCCAGGUCUUGUGAAACAAAGCCAGCCCAAUUGCUGAUCAAAACUGGCCCAUUUUUUCUGCGGUUUUCCUUUCAUCAUUAGCAACACUGGUACAAAACCAAACUCAACAACUAGUUGUUCAUGACGUAUUUAAACCCGUGUCUUUUCUUUAUGUGCAAUGCAAGAAAUCACAGUGAACAAGGUAUGGUUUGACUCAUUAGUGUUGCCAGAUCUUGCUAGAAAAAACAGCAAAUAACAACAAGCCCGUAAUGAGCUUAAAUACAAAUUCUUCUAAAUAAGCCAUAUACCAAAAUAUUGUGACAUGCACCUGCGUGCUUUAUUUACUCUACAAUCUGGAUCACUUUAUGAGUGAAGACUAGGCCAAAGACACUUAAUAAAGCAUUGCUUACAAUAAGUGGACAACCCUUUAAGAACGUGACCUGCAAAUCGGCAUUCCAACGACGGCUCUGUUAGCAGUGGUUUAAUUAAAAUAGACAAACUAUUACUUUGUAGUAUUACUUUGAUGAGGGGAAAUAAGUGAUGACAUAGGUUUCAUUUUUGGGUGAACUACUCCUCUGUGAGAGAAGUUUAUUUUCUUUAUAAGAUCAUGUUGUUUGCUGUCAUCUCUGAUGCAACACACAUCGACCUUCCGUAUGUAGAAAUGGAAUUACUUGGAUCCAAUUCUGCCAGAUCUUUGCUCAACACUUCAGUCCAGAUACCACCACUCUUACUGUAUUUUGGGUUUGUGUGUGGUCAGUCAGGUAUCAGGGAUGCUGUGUCAUUUUUAGCCCCUGCAUGUGUUUCUACUGUUGGUGCAGAAAUUCAAUGGUGCCGCAUAUACUCCAUGGUGCAGCUUCAUGGUGCUUCAUUCUUUCUCACUUUCUCCUGGCUUGCGUUCUGCUUCAGGUUCAGCUCGGCUACAUUCACACCGCAGUUGCGUGAUUUCUGGCCCAGAUCUAUUUUUUAAUGAUUUUGAUGAAAAAUCAUGUUAUCAUUUUCCAUUUGAGGCACUUUCAUACGUGGAAAUUAAUCACGGAAACAUGCAAUGUGGUUCAUGCAAUUGUUAACAUCACUACUGGUCAAAAGUUUGGGGUCAAUAAGAUUUUUUUUUGAAAGAUUAACAUGUUUAAUCAACAAGGAUGCAUUCAAUUGAUUCAAUGUCACAAUGAAGACAUUUAUAAUGUUACAUAAGAUUUAUACAGUAUUUCAAGUAAAUGCAGGUCUUAAUAAAUAAUGGAACUUUCUAUUCAUCAAAAAAUCGUCACAAAAUAUGAAGCAACUGUUUUCAACACUGAUAAUACUAAGAAAUGUUUCUUGGAGGAUCAUGUGACACUGAAGAUUGGAGUAAUGCUUAAAAUUCAGCUGUGCAUCACAGAAAUAAAUAACAUUUUAUUCAAAUAGAAAACAGAUAUUUUAAAUUGUAAUAAUAUUUCACAAUAUUGCUGGUUUUACUGUUUGAUAAAGUAAAUGCAGCAUUAGUGAGCAUAAGAGACUUUGAAAAAGAUUGAAAAAUCUUACUGACCUCAAACUUUUAAUUGCGAUAAUUGGAUGAUUGAUUUAACCUUGGUGUAAAUUUGAAUAAUUUUUCAAUUCUACUCUAUGAGGAGAUUGUAAUAUUUACAUAAAAUAUGUAAAUAAAUUAAAUGUCUUCAAAUGUCUUUAUAGAAAAACUGUGGUGUCCUAAAGUCAGGGGUCACACUGAAAAUCUGGGAUUCAAAGUGUAAUUUGAAAAUAAGCAGAUUUAUUUAUAGGAUUUAGAAAAAAAGAAAUUGACAAAAUUAAUAGAAAAAUAUUUCCAAUUCUGAAUCAGGCUCUUGCGAUGUGAACAUAGCCUUUCUCUCUCAUGCUGAACUACGUACGAAUCAGCCUACGUGCUAAUCUACAGGCUGACUAGUAUUCUGACCAUUCUGGUUUUUGACAGUCUUGACAUAUUCAGUGCUCCUUUGCUCAGGAUUCUGGGAAAGUGGCCCAUCUGUGUGAUGUCAUAAAAGCUGGUCACAUGGUGCUCCCAGAAUCCAGAGUCCUCUUGUGGUGCAAGUGGAGAGUUCACACUUGGCUUUUCACUUCACAAGACAUUAACUGAUGGACUGGAGCGGUGUGGAUUGCUUGUGGAUUAUUGUGAUGUUUUUAUCAGCUGUUUGGACUCUCAUUCUGAUGGCACCCAUUCACUGCAGUGGAUCCACUGGUGAGCAAGUCAUGCAAUUUCUCCAAAUCCGUUCUCAUGAAGAAACAAACUCAUCUACAUCUUGGAAAGCCUGAGGGUGAGGAAAUUUUCAGUAAAUUUGUUUUCUUUUAACGCCAACCCAAUAAUUUCAGAUAUUUUAUUUCGCUCCAGUAUCAUUUAGAGGCAGAAAAUUUCACUGAUGUUGAAAAGGAACAUCUAAAAUGCAGGAUGUUCUCCUUUUAAGGUUGGCUUGGUAGAAUCUGACUCCUUUAGCAGGAUCUUCGUGGCACUGUGCUGGGUCGAACCGCUCGUAGCCUUAGAGUCUGUUUGUGUUUGUUUGGUGAAGGCUGGUGAAUCUUGUAACGCAGCGUGAGGUUUGAUUGUUAUUAGUCGAGACUUCAGUGGUAAAUGAAUUGUACAUUUAUAAGUUUGCCUCUUUUUUUUAGAAAUUUAUUACAUUUUGUGUGCUGGGUGUUUUUAAAUUCAUUUAGAGUAAUUCUGACGUGAUUAUUGGCUAGUGUAUGAUUAUAUGCAUGGAU
Long non-coding RNA from Cyprinus carpio carpio, 3543 nucleotides. NCBI's taxonomy places the organism in Eukaryota, Metazoa, Chordata, Actinopteri, Cypriniformes, Cyprinidae. The record is from Ensembl.